Molecule: long non-coding RNA, 547 nt
Filed under: Olea europaea subsp. europaea
Lineage: Eukaryota; Viridiplantae; Streptophyta; Magnoliopsida; Lamiales; Oleaceae
Source: RNAcentral
UGAUUCUCUACUAAUGAGUGUUUUCACAUUUAAGUUUAUACUAAGCAAUUCAAACCCACUAGUUAUCUAAGCCCAAAUAUCAAUAACAUUUUUUUUUCUUUUUAGCCGAAUCCCAUGUUUUACCUCACUCCUUCAAGCUUUCUUCUUGACCCUUGUAGCAAGCUUUAGGUCGAUAACUCCCUGGUUGUUUAGGCUAAAGGGUACCGGGUUUCAAGAUACCCCUACGGACUUAAUAACUUGAGUCAAAAAAGCUACGAAGUGAGGCCCAAGAUUCAGCAAGUACAAUAACUUCAUUUUUUUUAGCACAACAAAAAUGGGGCUUAGAUCCCUAGCAUACGGUCAUUACCUAGCUUAUAUUCGGCAAAAGACACUCCACACAAAUAUUUUCAACAUGCACGGAAUCACACACUUCUAGAUAAUCUCCUUCACCAGCUCGACCACCCCCAAACUUAUCUCAUAAUGUGGUAAAGUGAAAGAAAAGAGAAUAUAGAUUGAUAAAAAUUUCCAAACGACUCACAAGUCACAACCUAGUUCAACCAAUUCAAAA